GAUGAACGCUGGCGGCGUGCCUAAUACAUGCAAGUCGAGCGAACGGACGAGAAGCUUGCUUCUCUGAUGUUAGCGGCGGACGGGUGAGUAACACGUGGAUAACCUACCUAUAAGACUGGGAUAACUUCGGGAAACCGGAGCUAAUACCGGAUGAUAUUUUGAACCGCAUGGUUCAAAAGUGAAAGACGGUCUUGCUGUCACUUAUAGAUGGAUCCGCGCUGCAUUAGCUAGUUGGUAAGGUAACGGCUUACCAAGGCAACGAUGCAUAGCCGACCUGAGAGGGUUAAUGGGCACCCUUGAACUGAGACACGGUCCAGACUCCUACGGGAGGCAGCAGUAGGGAAUCUUCCGCAAUGGGCGAAAGCCUGACGGAGCAACGCCGCGUGAGUGAUGAAGGUCUUCGGAUCGUAAAACUCUGUUAUUAGGGAAGAACAUAUGUGUAAGUAACUGUGCACAUCUUGACGGUACCUAAUCAGAAAGCCACGGCUAACUACGUG
RNAcentral lists this ribosomal RNA (497 nucleotides) under uncultured bacterium. RNAcentral describes it as "partial 16S ribosomal RNA". It matches the Rfam family "Bacterial small subunit ribosomal RNA", at positions 28 to 507 of the family's 1533-position model. The record is from RNAcentral.